GCCAGACUCCUAUGGGAGGCAGCAGUGGGGGAUAUUGCACAAUGGGGGGAACCCUGAUGCAGCGACGCCGCGUGGGUGAAGGAGCGUUUCGGCGCGUAAAGCCCUAUCGGCAGGGAAGAAGGAGGACGGUACCUGACUAAGAAGCCCCGGCUAAAUACGUGCCAGCAGCCGCGGUAAUACGUAUGGUGCAAGCGUUAUCCGGAUUUACUGGGUGUAAAGGGAGCGCAGGCGGCGCGUUAAGCCUGGUGUGAAAGCCCGCGGCCCAACCGCGGGACUGCAUUGGGAACUGGCGCGCUGGAGUGCCGGGGGGGUAGGCGGAAUUCCUAGUGUAGCGGUGAAAUGCGUAGAUAUUAGGAGGAACACCAGUGGCGAAGGCGGCUUACUGGACGGUAACUGACGUUGAGGCUCGAAAGCGUGGGGAGCAAACAGGAUUAGAUACCCUAGUAG
This 447-nucleotide ribosomal RNA is filed under the name uncultured bacterium. RNAcentral describes it as "bacterial SSU rRNA". It matches the Rfam family "Bacterial small subunit ribosomal RNA", at positions 330 to 793 of the family's 1533-position model. The record is from RNAcentral.